This 505-nucleotide ribosomal RNA is filed under the name uncultured bacterium. RNAcentral's name for it is "partial 16S ribosomal RNA". It matches the Rfam family "Bacterial small subunit ribosomal RNA", at positions 28 to 507 of the family's 1533-position model. The record is from RNAcentral.
GACGAACGCUGGCGGCGUGCCUAAUACAUGCAAGUAGAACGCACAGUUUAUACCGUAGCUUGCUACACCAUAGACUGUGAGUUGCGAACGGGUGAGUAACGCGUAGGUAACCUGCCUGGUAGCGGGGGAUAACUAUUGGAAACGAUAGCUAAUACCGCAUAAUAUUGAUUAUUGCAUGAUAAUUAAUUGAAAGGUGCAAUUGCACCACUACCAGAUGGACCUGCGUUGUAUUAGCUAGUAGGUGAGGUAACGGCUCACCUAGGCGACGAGACAUAGCCGACCUGAGAGGGUGAUCGGCCACACUGGGACUGAGACACGGCCCAGACUCCUACGGGAGGCAGCAGUAGGGAAUCUUCGGCAAUGGACGAAAGUCUGACCGAGCAACGCCGCGUGAGUGAAGAAGGGUUUCGGAUCGUAAAGCUCGGUUGUAAGAGAAGAACGGGUGUGAGAGUGGAAAGUUCACACUGUGACGGUAUCUUACCAGAAAGGGACGGCUAACUACGUG